UACGGGAGGCAGCAGGGAGGAAUAUUGCACAAUGGGCGCAAGCCUGAUGCAGCCAUGCCGCGUGUAUGAAAAAGGCCUUCGGGUUGUAAAGUACUUUCAGUCGUGAGGAAGGUGUUAAGGUUAAUAACCUUAGCAAUUGACGUUAGCGACAGAAGAAGCACCGGCUAACUCCGUGCCAGCAGCCGCGGUAAUACGGAGGGUGCGAGCGUUAAUCGGAAUUACUGGGCGUAAAGGGCACGCAGGCGGUUAAUUAAGUUGGAUGUGAAAUCCCCGGGCUUAACCUGGGAAUGGCAUUCAAGACUGGUUAGCUAGAGUCUUGUAGAGGGGGGUAGAAUUCCAUGUGUAGCGGUGAAAUGCGUAGAGAUGUGGAGGAAUACCGGUGGCGAAGGCGGCCCCUGGACAAAGACUGACGCUCAUGUGCGAAAGCGUGGGGAGCAAACAGGGAUUAGAUACC
Molecule: ribosomal RNA, 454 nt
Filed under: uncultured bacterium
Lineage: Bacteria
Description: bacterial SSU rRNA
Rfam family: Bacterial small subunit ribosomal RNA
Source: RNAcentral